This is a non-coding RNA of Aegilops tauschii subsp. strangulata, 878 nucleotides long. Lineage: Eukaryota; Viridiplantae; Streptophyta; Magnoliopsida; Poales; Poaceae. The record is from RefSeq and is a predicted model, not a curated record.
AAUUCUUUCAAAGUGCAUACCUGAGUUCUAAAUCUUUUUAAGUUGUUUGUUUAAGGUCCUAAUCUUGUCUCAUCCUCGCUGACUAUUUUGCGUGGCACUUUGACUAGGGCCACGUCGAUACCAAGGCCCAGGCGGGAGUUUUCUCGAGGCUGGUAGUUGGAGAUUUAUCCACUUCGGCGCCAUGUCUGCCGCCACUAGCUCCUCUGCGGUCAAGCGCCACGCGAGAAAGUUGUUUGCUCCAUCCAUGGCCUUGGCCGCGCAACCGCCGUCGGGAUGCUGUCGUUGGUAUUGUGCCCUUGCUGCAGAUUCCGGUCAACCAUCUGCCUAGUUUCUAAAUACGAUGCAAAUAUUGAAGGGUUUUGUACAAAUACCCUAAUCACCGUGUAAGAUUCAUGUUUGUCCUUUAUUUUUUUGCAUAUGGAAUGCAUUCCUCUGUUUCUCAUCUAAUUGAUUUUGGGCGAUAAGUUGAACCAAAUCCUUGCCAGCACUACUACUAGGAAGAUGGGUCAGAUGACUACAUGGAUUUCUUGGUCGGGAAUGGGCACAUUACUCCUGUAAUUGGCAGUGCUUAUUCAAUGAUGUCAAUGGUAACGAAUAAACAAAUGGGAAAGAAGAGUGUGCGGCAAUGAAGUAGAACAGUACUGGUUGUGUGGUGAUGGCACAUGUAAUGAAGAAGAUGGAUGGGCUGAUAUUUCUUUGUAGGAGUAUUUUCAAUGCACAAGUGUUCAUGAUUGCUAUCAUGGUGUUUAUAGUUCUUAAGAAAUGAGAAUGCAGUUAUGUAGUUGGUUAGAAAUGAGAAAUCAAUGCUGGUUUGAUAUAUGCCAGGGAUGUAUGACAAGUAUUUUAGUAAUGGAAAUCAAUGAAAUGUCAGCAGUGCA